Molecule: long non-coding RNA, 3800 nt
Organism: Vulpes vulpes (red fox)
Lineage: Eukaryota; Metazoa; Chordata; Mammalia; Carnivora; Canidae
Source: Ensembl
GUCAUUAUCGCUGGCAGCCAUGGUGAAGGCUGCGACCUCCAGAGCCCAGAAGGAGGCACCUCUGUCUCAUUCAAAAUAGAACAGGAAAAAUUGGACGGUUUGACUACAGAAGAACACCAUGUCUGCAUCUUAGAGCAUUCCCACCUCAUCAUGGUGCCCCCAUUGAAAUGAGGCCAGAGGUAAAGUGAAACUGUAGAACCCAGGCCACUUUCAACUGGUACUGCAUACCACAUCUCACUUCUUCAUGUCAAUCCACCAUCCUGAAAAUUUGUGCCUCAGAUACACAGGGCACCAGCUCACGUGCGUUGCAGAUAUCAUUCAUAGACCCCUGAUGAUGUCCCAAGGAAGAAGAUCGUGACUCUUCUAUCACUGUGCAGGUUGGGAACCUGUGGACUAUAUGAGAGACAUGGUGGUUUAGAUCGGUCACAGAUCUGGGAAGGCAAGCACAGAAAGAAAGGUCUGAAUUCAGAUUCGUCUCAGGAAAGUAGGACCUUCCUUGCAUUUUCAGAGAGUGCUGGCUAUGGUAUUUUUGGCUCCUGAUGUAAAGUUAACAAGAUAAUGUGGGGCAAGCAGUCAUCUGCCAAGAAGGGGCUCUGGAUAAGUCUGACUGAAGGGAGGGGCACAAGGGCUGGAAUCUUGAAAAAGUGACGUCACUUCCUUGGGGACAAGCUUGUAACGGAUUUAGAACUCUGGUAACCAGGAAGCUGCAUUGAACAAUGUCCCUCUUUCCAGAUCACAUAACUGGAGCCAGUCAGGAGAACAAGAUCUUCUGUUGCUGUUGCCCUACUUUCAGUGGCUCUGGGCUUAGGAGAGUCCAGAAAGAGAGAUGUUCAUGCCACUAUGGACGUCAGUAUGGCCCUCUUUCCGAAGGUUCUGGUUAUGUGCAGGAGACUUCAACAGAGCUUCACCCAGGAGAAUUUGGAGGAGAUGUUCUGUGGCUUCAACUCUUCUAACUCCCUAGACAAUGAUCGGGUGGACCAGGCAAAGAAGGAGCAGUGCUGUUCUGAGGUAUCCUGUGUAGAACACAGCUCCACUGUCGUUGCACAAUGUCUGCAUGCCUCACAAAAGAUCAUACUAAAGAGGGUGAUUUAAGACAAAAGGAAGCGUGGGAUGAAGCCAUUCUCUAUGUUUAUCUCUAAGGUGUCAUGUGUCAGAACACAUCAGAUCAUUGUAGGCCCAACGGGUCAUGAGCUGUGUCCUAGUAGUACUCCAUCAAUGGGGCCGUCUGCCACAGUGAUUCAGCCAUUCAAGGUCCUUGGCACUUGACAUGAUGCCAUUCUCUUUCCAUGUCUGCCGUGCUGCAAGGAGCACCUUGUUUGUCUCCACAGACUGUUUAAGUUGCUUGAUCUGCCAUAACCUGGAAACCCAGUUUGGGUGGAAGCCCUCUGAUGCCUCCUGACCCAAGUAGCUGGCUCUGUCUUUUUUGUAGAGAUCCACACAGGAAAUCUAGGAUGAUGCCUAACCCUGACCCUGACCCUAAUCCUGACCCCUAAACCUGUGGCCUAACCGUGACCCUAUCCCUGCAGCCUAACACCGAGGCCUUACCGUGAACCUCACCCGAACCCUAACCCCGACCCAAACCCUAACCCAAAACCUAACCCUGAGGCCUAACCCUGACCCUAAACCCUAACACUGAGGCCUAACACUAAUCUUAUCCCUGAGGCCUAACCACUAAGCCUGAGGCCAAACCCUGAGGCCUAACACUAAUUCUAACCCUGAGGCCUAACCCCUUACACUGAGGCCUAACCCUAACCCUAACCCCUAACCCUCAGGCCUAACACCUCGGCCAAUCCCUGAGGCAUAAACCUAAACCCUAACCCUGAUGCCUAAUGCUUACCCUAACCCUGAGUCCUAAACCUAACUCUGAGGCCUAAACCUGAGGGCUAACCCUGAGGCCUAACCAGUGCUCUAACGCUGAGACCUAACCCUAACCCUAACCCUCACCCUGAGGUCUAAACCUGAGGCCUCACCCAGAGGCUUAAACCUAAACCCUAUCCCUUAGGCCUAACCCUAACACUGACUCCAGGCCUAACACUAAACCUAACCCUAAACCAUAAUCCUAACCCUAACCCCUAGGCCUAACCCAUAACCCUAACCCCUCAGCCUAACCCCUAACACUAACCAUGAGGCCUAACCCUAACCCCUAACCCUAAGGCCUAGCCCUAGCCCCUAACCCUGAGACCUAAACCUAACCCUAGCCCUGAGGCCUAACCCUAACACUAACCCUAACUCCUUACCUUAAUCCUAACCCUGACCCCAAGGCCUAACCCCUAACCCUAAUCUCUCGGCCUACCCAAUAACCCUAAAACUUCGGCCUACCCAAACCCCUAACCUUGAGGCCUAACCCUAGCCCCUAACCCUGAGGUCUAACCCUAACCCUAACACUAACCUCUAAUCCUGAGGCCUAACCCCUAGGCCCAAACCUGAGGCCUAAACAUAAAACCUAACCAUGAGGUCUAACACUAACCCCUAACCCUAAGGCCUAACCCUAAACCUAUCCCUACCUCCUUACCCUAACCCUAACCCUGAAGCCUAACUCUAACCCUAACCCUAACCCUAAUCCUAACCCUAACCCUGACCCUGAUCCUAACCCUGACCCUGAACCUGACCCUAAACCUAACCAUAACCCAAACCCUAACCCUGAGGCCUAACCCUGAGGCCUAACUCUAACCCAUAACCCUGAGGCUUAACACUAACCCUAACCCUAACCCCUAACACUGAGUCCUAACCCCUAGGCCUAACCAUGAGGCCUAAACCUAAACCCUAACCCUGAAGCCUAACCCUAACCCUAACCCUGAGGCCUAAACCUAACCCUAAGGCCUAACCCUGAGGCCUAACCACUAACCCUGAGGCCAAAUCCUGAGGCCUAAACCUAACUCUAGCCCUGAGGCUAACCCCUAACACUGAGCCCUAACCCUAACCCUAACCAUAACCCCUAUCCCUGAGGCUUAACCCUAACCCUAACCCUGAGGCCUAACACGGAGUCCUUACCCUGAGGCCUAAAUGUAACCUCUAACUCUAACCCUAACCCUAAACCCUAACUCUGAGGCCUAACCCCUAGGCCUAAACCUAAGGCCUAAACCUAAACCCUAACUCUGAGGCCUAAACCUGAGGUCUAACCCUGAGGCCUUACCCUGAGGCCUAACCCUGAGGCCUAAGCCUAACCAAUAACCCUGAGGCCUAAACCUAAACCUAACCCUAACCCUAAACCCUAACCCCCAGGCCUAACCCCUAACCCUAACCCCUCAGCCUAACCCCUUACCUUAACCCUGAGGCCUAACCCUAACCCCUAACACUGAGGCCUAACCCUAACCCUAACCCUGAGGCCUGACUCUAAACCUAACCCUAACCUCUUGCACUACCCUAACCCUGAAGCCUAACUCUAACCCUAAUCCUAACCCUAACCCUAAACCUGACACUGACCCUAACCCUGACCAUGACCCUAACCCUAACCCUGACCUGACCCUACCCCUACCCCUGACCCUAACCCUGAGCCUGACCCUAACCCUGACCCUAAUCCUAACCCGAAUCCAAACCCUAACCCGAACCCUAACCCUAACUCUAACCCAAACCCUAACCCUACCCCGAACCUGAACCCUAACCCUAACCCGAACCCAAACCCGAACCCUAAACCGAACCCGAACUCUAACCCGAACCCGAACCCUCACCCUCACCCUAACCCUAGCCCAAACCCUAACCCGAACCCUAACCCUAACCCGAACCCUAACCCGAUCCCGAACCCUAACCCUAACCGUAACCCUAACCAGAUAUACAACUAAAUAAAAAUCUUUUACUCCACA